Molecule: long non-coding RNA, 732 nt
Organism: Eriocheir sinensis (Chinese mitten crab)
Lineage: Eukaryota; Metazoa; Arthropoda; Malacostraca; Decapoda; Varunidae
Exons: 3
Source: RefSeq, a predicted model, not a curated record
UUCCAUAAUACUAAUAUAAAUUCAACCUUGAUUAUUCUCUUUAGUUCCCUCUCGAACUAACUUUUAAUCGUGAACUCAACUAUUUUCUGCAGAGCAGAGGCGAAUCGGUUGAUUUCACUCCCAUUUUAAUAAUAUAACACAUUUCCAACACUCUUAAGGUGUUCUGUAAGCACCUAUAACAUACCUGUUAGGCGCAGUUUGGAGCUGGAGUGGCCAUAGCUGAUUAAAAAAACAAUGGACACAACACUGGCACUGUCGUCUGCUGUACUCCGCUUCAGCCUGAUGACGUCAUGAGAUAUCUCUCCAAUAUCCAGUCAACUAGCGAUUUAUAGGACGUAAUAUGUGCACUACGUUAUCAUUGGUACGUGGCACAAUGCAUUUCUAGGCUCUUCCCAGAACCGGAAACAUGUCCAUUUGACAGGCGAGGUGUUUCCUUCCAUACCGACAGAUGGCGUGAGUUGUAAACUUUGAACACUGUGACCGCCACUCUCGCCGCGUCAUGUGUAAAUAUUAGUGUUUUCCAAGGACCACUCACCUGUCAUGGCCACCAGGCGAGUGUUGCAAACGUUGCCGGUGCCGUGCGAGGGCGCAGCGCCGCCUCCCGCCUCCCAAGUAACGGCUGAGGAGAAGGAGGAGGAGAAGGAGGAUAAGGAGGAGGAAGGAAGCAAGGAAGGAAGCAAGGAAGGAAGGAAGGAAUGUUGCUGAAAAAAAAAUACCCUACUGGUCCGAGUU